AGUGAACGCUGGCGGUAUGCCUAACACAUGCAAGUCGAACGGCAGCACAGUAAGAGCUUGCUCUUACGGGUGGCGAGUGGCGGACGGGUGAGGAAUACAUCGGAAUCUACUUUUUCGUGGGGGAUAACGUAGGGAAACUUACGCUAAUACCGCAUACGACCUACGGGUGAAAGCAGGGGAUCUUCGGACCUUUCGCGAUUGAAUGAGCCGAUGCCGGAUUAGCUAGUUGGCGGGGUAAAGGCCCACCAAGGCGACGAUCCGUAGCUGGUCUGAGAGGAUGAUCAGCCACACUGGAACUGAGACACGGUCCAGACUCCUACGGGAGGCAGCAGUGGGGAAUAUUGGACAAUGGGCGAAAGCCUGAUCCAGCCAUACCGCGUGGGUGAAGAAGGCCUUCGGGUUGUAAAGCCCUUUUGUUGGGAAAGAAAAGCAGCAGGUUAAUACCCCGCUGUUCUGACGGUACCCAAAGAAUAAGCACCGGCUAACUUCGUG
RNAcentral lists this ribosomal RNA (492 nucleotides) under uncultured bacterium. RNAcentral describes it as "partial 16S ribosomal RNA". It matches the Rfam family "Bacterial small subunit ribosomal RNA", at positions 29 to 507 of the family's 1533-position model. The record is from RNAcentral.